AUUGAACGCUGGCGGCAUGCCUUACACAUGCAAGUCGAACGGCAGCACGGGAGCAAUCCUGGUGGCGAGUGGCGAACGGGUGAGUAAUAUAUCGGAACGUGCCCAGUCGUGGGGAUAACGUAGCGAAAGCUACGCUAAUACCGCAUACGAUCUAUGGAUGAAAGCGGGGGAUCGCAAGACCUCGCGCGAUUGGAGCGGCCGAUAUCAGAUUAGGUAGUUGGUGAGGUAAAGGCUCACCAAGCCGACGAUCUGUAGCUGGUCUGAGAGGACGACCAGCCACACUGGGACUGAGACACGGCCCAGACUCCUACGGGAGGCAGCAGUGGGGAAUUUUGGACAAUGGGCGCAAGCCUGAUCCAGCAAUGCCGCGUGCAGGAUGAAGGCCUCGGUUGUAACGUAG
RNAcentral lists this ribosomal RNA (400 nucleotides) under uncultured bacterium. Its description in RNAcentral is "bacterial SSU rRNA". It matches the Rfam family "Bacterial small subunit ribosomal RNA", at positions 30 to 432 of the family's 1533-position model. The record is from RNAcentral.